RNAcentral lists this ribosomal RNA (300 nucleotides) under uncultured eukaryote. Its description in RNAcentral is "partial large subunit ribosomal RNA". It matches the Rfam family "Eukaryotic large subunit ribosomal RNA", at positions 40 to 350 of the family's 3401-position model. The record is from RNAcentral.
AUAUAAAUAAGCGGAGGAAAAGAAACUAACUAGGAUUGACGUAGUAAGGGCGACUGAACUGUCAUGAGCUCACCGUGUGAAUCUGCGUACGCAAGUGCGCCGAAUUGUGGUCUGGAGGUGCGUGCACUAUUGCGCUGGGCAAAGUCCCUUGGAAGAGGGCAGCAUAGAGGGUGAUACUCCCGUUUGCUCGGUGCUUGGAGCGUGUACCGAAGAGUCGAGUUGUUUGGGAUUGCAGCUCAAAGCCGGUGGUAAAUUCCAUCGAAAGCUAAAUAUUGGUGGGAGACCGAUAGCGCACAAGUA